Molecule: ribosomal RNA, 301 nt
Filed under: uncultured bacterium
Lineage: Bacteria
Description: partial 16S ribosomal RNA
Rfam family: Bacterial small subunit ribosomal RNA
Source: RNAcentral
CAGUCGCCGCGGUAACACGUAGGGUGCAAGCGUUAAUCGGAUUUACUGGGCGUAAAGCGUGCGCAGGCGGCCCGUUAAGGCAGGUGUGAAAUCCCUGGGCUCAACCUAGGAAUUGCGCUUGUGACUGGCGGGCUCGAGUACGGUAGAGGGGGGUGGAAUUCCUGGUGUAGCAGUGAAAUGCGUAGAGAUCAGGAGGAACACCGAUGGCGAAGGCAGCCCCCUGGGCCUGUACUGACGCUCAUGCACGAAAGCGUGGGGAGCAAACAGGAUUAGAGACCCCAGUAGUCCCUGUCUCUUAUAC